Molecule: ribosomal RNA, 465 nt
Filed under: uncultured Klebsiella sp.
Lineage: Bacteria; Pseudomonadati; Pseudomonadota; Gammaproteobacteria; Enterobacterales; Enterobacteriaceae
Description: bacterial SSU rRNA
Rfam family: Bacterial small subunit ribosomal RNA
Source: RNAcentral
CCUACGGGCGGCAGCAGUGGGGAGUAUUGCACAAUGGGCGCAAGCCUGAUGCAGCCAUGCCGCGUGUGUGAAGAAGGCCUUCGGGUUGUAAAGCACUUUCAGCGGGGAGGAAGGCGGUGAGGUUAAUAACCUCAUCGAUUGACGUUACCCGCAGAAGAAGCACCGGCUAACUCCGUGCCAGCAGCCGCGGUAAUACGGAGGGUGCAAGCGUUAAUCGGAAUUACUGGGCGUAAAGCGCACGCAGGCGGUCUGUCAAGUCGGAUGUGAAAUCCCCGGGCUCAACCUGGGAACUGCAUUCGAAACUGGCAGGCUAGAGUCUUGUAGAGGGGGGUAGAAUUCCAGGUGUAGCGGUGAAAUGCGUAGAGAUCUGGAGGAAUACCGGUGGCGAAGGCGGCCCCCUGGACAAAGACUGACGCUCAGGUGCGAAAGCGUGGGGAGCAAACAGGAUUAGAUACCCGAGUAGUC